This 429-nucleotide ribosomal RNA is filed under the name Actinomycetes bacterium. RNAcentral's name for it is "Actinobacteria bacterium partial 16S ribosomal RNA". It matches the Rfam family "Bacterial small subunit ribosomal RNA", at positions 355 to 776 of the family's 1533-position model. The record is from RNAcentral. Lineage: Bacteria; Bacillati; Actinomycetota; Actinomycetes.
UAGGGAAUCUUCCGCAAUGGGCGAAAGCCUGACGGAGCAACGCCGCGUGAGUGAUGAAGGUCUUCGGAUCGUAAAACUCUGUUAUUAGGGAAGAACAACUGUGUAAGUAACUAUGCACGUCUUGACGGUACCUAAUCAGAAAGCCACGGCUAACUACGUGCCAGCAGCCGCGGUAAUACGUAGGUGGCAAGCGUUAUCCGGAAUUAUUGGGCGUAAAGCGCGCGUAGGCGGGUUUUUAAGUCUGAUGUGAAAGCCCACGGCUCAACCGUGGAGGGUCAUUGGAAACUGGAAAACUUGAGUGCAGAAGAGGAAAGUGGAAUUCCAUGUGUAGCGGUGAAAUGCGCAGAGAUAUGGAGGAACACCAGUGGCGAAGGCGACUUUCUGGUCUGUAACUGACGCUGAUGUGCGAAAGCGUGGGGAUCAAACAGG